Molecule: ribosomal RNA, 1022 nt
Filed under: bacterium OVA1
Lineage: Bacteria
Description: bacterial SSU rRNA
Rfam family: Bacterial small subunit ribosomal RNA
Source: RNAcentral
ACACAUGCAAGUCGAACGCUGAAGCUCCAGCUUGCUGGGGUGGAUGAGUGGCGAACGGGUGAGUAACACGUGAGUAACCUUCCCUUGACUCUGGGAUAAGCCCGGGAAACUGGGUCUAAUACCGGAUACGACCUCCUGCCGCAUGGUGUGGGGGUGGAAAGAUUUAUCGGUCUUGGAUGGACUCGCGGCCUAUCAGCUUGUUGGUGAGGUAAUGGCUCACCAAGGCGACGACGGGUAGCCGGCCUGAGAGGGUGACCGGCCACACUGGGACUGAGACACGGCCCAGACUCCUACGGGAGGCAGCAGUGGGGAAUAUUGCACAAUGGGCGCAAGCCUGAUGCAGCGACGCCGCGUGAGGGAUGACGGCCUUCGGGUUGUAAACCUCUUUCAGUAGGGAAGAAGCGAAAGUGACGGUACCUGCAGAAGAAGCGCCGGCUAACUACGUGCCAGCAGCCGCGGUAAUACGUAGGGCGCGAGCGUUAUCCGGAAUUAUUGGGCGUAAAGAGCUCGUAGGCGGUUUGUCGCGUCUGCCGUGAAAGUCCGGGGCUUAACCCCGGAUCUGCGGUGGGUACGGGCAGACUAGAGUGCAGUAGGGGAGACUGGAAUUCCUGGUGUAGCGGUGAAAUGCGCAGAUAUCAGGAGGAACACCGAUGGCGAAGGCAGGUCUCUGGGCUGUUACUGACGCUGAGGAGCGAAAGCAUGGGGAGCGAACAGGAUUAGAUACCCUGGUAGUCCAUGCCGUAAACGUUGGGCACUAGGUGUGGGGGACAUUCCACGUUUUCCGCGCCGCAGCUAACGCAUUAAGUGCCCCGCCUGGGGAGUACGGCCGCAAGGCUAAAACUCAAAGGGAUUGACGGGGGCCCGCACAAGCGGCGGAGCAUGCGGAUUAAUUCGAUGCAACGCGAAGAACCUUACCAAGGCUUGACAUGUUCCCGACCGGGACAGAGAUGGUCUUUCCCCUUUGGGGCGGGUUCACAGGUGGUGCAUGGGUGUCGUCAGCUCGUGUCGGGAGAUGUUGGGUU